This 301-nucleotide ribosomal RNA is filed under the name uncultured bacterium. Its description in RNAcentral is "partial 16S ribosomal RNA". It matches the Rfam family "Bacterial small subunit ribosomal RNA", at positions 509 to 807 of the family's 1533-position model. The record is from RNAcentral.
CAGUCGCCGCGGUAAUACGAAGGGGGCUAGCGUUGUUCGGAAUUACUGGGCGUAAAGCGCACGUAGGCGGACUGGAAAGUCAGAGGUGAAAUCCCAGGGCUCAACCUUGGAACUGCCUUUGAGACUAUCAGUCUGGAGUUCGAGAGAGGUGAGUGGAAUUCCGAGUGUAGAGGUGAAAUUCGUAGAUAUUCGGAGGAACACCAGUGGCGAAGGCGGCUCACUGGCUCGAUACUGACGCUGAGGUGCGAAAGCGUGGGGAGCAAACAGGAUUAGAUACCCGGGUAGUCCCUGUCUCUUAUAC